Long non-coding RNA from Chrysemys picta bellii (western painted turtle), 1095 nucleotides. RefSeq lists it as uncharacterized. The record is from RefSeq and is a predicted model, not a curated record. Lineage: Eukaryota; Metazoa; Chordata; Testudines; Emydidae.
GAACAUAUGUUGCAGGCUACUGUCUGGGAGCUGUCGGAGCCCUAGACCACAAAGACCAGGCACGCUGAGACCCAGGUGAAUACCCGGCUGUCCGUGGAAACCCAUGAGGGGAAGGAGUCAUCAGGAACUUUGCCUUGCAACUACCCCAGAGAACUAGAGGACCUGUAGACUAUGGAGCAGGAAGGCAAGGUCCACUUGGAAAAUCCCCCACAGUCGGAAGAUUAAUCUGGCCAUAUCAGAAUGUAGUGACCAUUCAUGAUGAUUGGUGAAGGACCUGCUCAACUGAUCUUCUGCAUAUUUUGUGCCCCUGAAAGGUGAAUAGGCCAAUCAACAACUUUGCCCUUAGACACCGAAUAUAUGAAACCACUAUCCACUUCUCAUCUCCAAGGGGAACAAGGCAUGUGGAUGGGAAUUCUAUCAAAUGGUAUUUUCAGAGAAGCAGGUAAGUAACUAUUCCUCUCAAAGAUACCAUAUCAACUGGAUUCAGAUUGUUGGAGACUAAAACCUCAAGGGGAGAUUCCACAAAUCCACCGAUUCGCCAGUCAUGGAGGGAGACAAAGUUACUGCAGAAAUCUGAAGUUUAUGCUAAAAAGACUUUAUACAAACAAAUGAUUAGGAUCUUCAGGAAAAAACUAUAAGAGCCACGGGCUGUGUUCCAUUCUCUAGUACUGAGUGUUUCAUUUCCAGGUGUCCAAAGCCAGCCUGCCAAAUAUCAGGAGACAUAAGAGACUGAGAGAGGCCCUAUCAGAGAUUUGACAGGACUGAGGCACAACUUCAAUAGCAUAUUCAGAAGAAUUUGCCUUUCUGGCAAGACUAAAGGGAAGAUUCCAGCUUUCUCUCUGGAUCCCAACAAUAAUGUUCAUAAUAGUAUAUUGUGAGUGUAUGUUAACUUUCUCAGUCUGUCUCUCGAAGAAUGGAGGCAGGGGCUUGUGUCAGCAACAAAUAUGAACUGAAUUUGCUGGAAUAAGUACAUUUUUAAUAAUCGAAAGAAAGGCUGUGUAGAACAGUUUGUGCCAUUGUUUUGAAACUCAAUAGCAUCUUAUCUAUGUUUACAUUUAGGGAGAAUAAUGGCUAGCUGUUAGUCAGCUGGAAAAU